UCAGAGAGUGAUUCCUUGUUAGCCCUAGU
This 29-nucleotide non-coding RNA is filed under the name Mus musculus (house mouse). The record is from RNAcentral. Lineage: Eukaryota; Metazoa; Chordata; Mammalia; Rodentia; Muridae.